Molecule: ribosomal RNA, 467 nt
Filed under: uncultured bacterium
Lineage: Bacteria
Description: partial 16S ribosomal RNA
Rfam family: Bacterial small subunit ribosomal RNA
Source: RNAcentral
ACGAACGCUGGCGGCGUGCUUAACACAUGCCAGUCGAACGGAAAGGCCCUGCUUUUGUGGGGUGCUCGAGUGGCGAACGGGUGAGUAACACGUGAGUAACCUGCCCUUGACUUUGGGAUAACUUCAGGAAACUGGGGCUAAUACCGGAUAGGAGCUCCUGCUGCAUGGUGGGGGUUGGAAAGUUUCGGAGGUUGGGGAUGGACUCGCGGCUUAUCAGCUUGUUGGUGGGGUAGUGGCUUACCAAGGCUUUGACGGGUAGCCGGCCUGAGAGGGUGACCGGCCACAUUGGGACUGAGAUAUGGCCCAGACUCCUACGGGAGGCAGCAGUGGGGAAUAUUGCACAAUGGGCGGAAGCCUGAUGCAGCAACGCCGCGUGCGGGAUGACGGCCUUCGGGUUGUAAACCGCUUUCGCCUGUGACGAAGCGUGAGUGACGGUAAUGGGUAAAGAAGCACCGGCUAACUACGUG